CAGGGCUUUCCUGAUGGUCUCCUUUGCCUUCCUUCUCCACUAAGGAGGACAGCCAGCAGCAGCUCAGCCCAUGCUGUUAACCCACCUUUUCCACACACGCCAGCCCCCUGUCCACAGCACCCAAGGCUGCCUGAGGGAUCCUUCCGCAGCUCCUAUGCGCUGACAGUGACUCUCGUGUUUCCUAGGUUUCAAGUUUCUUUCAGCAGAGCUUCCUAGAGAGAAGUCCACAGAGAAAGUCGUGGCCGUUUUCAAAAGGGACUCAGCGCUUUGGGCAAGCGGUCCCAUGGAGGGUCCCGUGGAAAAAUUCAUCUAUGAAUCAGAUGAGGAGGCCCCACGACAGUGGCAGGCCGGCGGACUGCCUGAAGAAAAAGGUGUGUGUGCUGGAAUCACUCCUUUGCUAAGAAAAGAUCGUCAGGGUUGCAAAAGGUGGCACUUGCUCGCCUGCUUUUGCUGGAGAGCCACUUUGGUUUGAGCUUCCUGAGAGAAAUGAGGUUUGGACAGUUUGGUAUAAAAAACACUGAGUCCAGCAGAGAACUAUGACCAUCACUCGAAUCCGGGGAGGCAGGAUUGUCAUGUAGAUGGAACAGUGUGUUGUGCCUCAGGGUCGGGAGGUACGGAGGAGAGAGUCAUGUGGAGGGAUUGGGAAUGUCUUUGGGAGUGUGUGGGCAUUUCCCCAGAAAGCAUGUUCCCCUGUGCAGAGCACAACCCAAGGAGCAAUGUUUCUAAGAAGUUGCAUCACCACUGCACACUUCACAUAAAGUAACGCAUUCAUCCUCCCCCACAGCUGUACCUGAAGGUAAAUUUUAUAUCCUCAUCCUCAGAUAGAGACGGUGCAGAGAUGAAUUUCCCAGGCUCUCAAUCUCCUAAAUGGAAGAGGCGAAUGUGAACUCAGCAAUGGGAGGAGGAUUGGUACAGUGGGUGACUAUUGUGCAUUCACCAGCCAGCCCUGGUAUAACUCACCAUUAGUCCAGGGAGUUCCGGCCUCUGUGUGUGCAUGUGGAAGGAGGAGAGCCUAGAGAGGUCCCAACACUGUCUGUCAUUGUAGGCAGGGCUCAAAGGCUGCCUAACCCAGGGUUGCAGUAGGUACAUUUUACACUGGACUUUGGUGUGGUCAUUAGUGUGAAACACACAGAGCGAGCUCACAGGCUUCUGGCAGUAGUGGUGGGGUCAUUUCUCAGCUCGUGGUCAAAAGCAG
Molecule: long non-coding RNA, 1195 nt
Filed under: Macaca nemestrina (pig-tailed macaque)
Lineage: Eukaryota; Metazoa; Chordata; Mammalia; Primates; Cercopithecidae
Description: lncRNA (ENSMNEG00000045785.1)
Source: RNAcentral